GCUGCUCCUAGAGGCAUUGCAAGUGUAGCUGCUGUGUCACAUGUAUGUCAGUAGGUGGCAGAGAGGAGAGAGGCUAUGUGCACGCUGUGUUCUGACCUGUGGACCUCUAAAUGAUUAGUUGCUUAACCCU
Molecule: small nucleolar RNA, 130 nt
Organism: Acomys russatus (golden spiny mouse)
Lineage: Eukaryota; Metazoa; Chordata; Mammalia; Rodentia; Muridae
Product: small nucleolar RNA SNORA17
Exons: 1
Source: RefSeq, a predicted model, not a curated record